AAUACCCCUAAAGGCAUUGCAGGUGUGGCUGCUGUGUCACAUGUUCAUCAGUAGGUGACAGAAAGGAGAGGCUACAUCUAUGCUUAGUGUUCUGAUCUAGGAACAUCUGAAUAUUAAUAACCUAAUAUU
This is a small nucleolar RNA of Grammomys surdaster, 129 nucleotides long. RefSeq annotates it as small nucleolar RNA SNORA17. The record is from RefSeq and is a predicted model, not a curated record. Lineage: Eukaryota; Metazoa; Chordata; Mammalia; Rodentia; Muridae. The transcript has a single exon.